This 460-nucleotide ribosomal RNA is filed under the name uncultured bacterium. Its description in RNAcentral is "partial 16S ribosomal RNA". It matches the Rfam family "Bacterial small subunit ribosomal RNA", at positions 338 to 795 of the family's 1533-position model. The record is from RNAcentral.
CCUACGGGAGGCAGCAGUGAGGAAUAUUGGUCAAUGGACGAGAGCCUGAACCAGCCAAGUAGCGUGAAGGAUGACUGCCCUACGGGUUGUAAACUUCUUUUAUAAAGGAAUAAAGUGUGGCACGUGUGCCUUUUUGUAUGUACUUUAUGUAUAAGGACCGGCUAAUUCCGUGCCAGCAGCCGCGGUAAUACGGAGGGUCCGGGCGUUAUCCGGAUUUAUUGGGUUUAAAGGGAGCGUAGGCCGGUCUUUAAGCGUGCCGUGAAAUUUUGUGGCUCAACCAUGAGAGUGCGGCUCAAACUGGAGACCUUGAGUGCGCGAGAGGCAGGCGGAAUUCGUGGUGUAGCGGUGAAAUGCUUAGAUAUCACGAAGAACCCCGAUUGCGAAGGCAGCCUGCUGGAGUGUUACUGACGCUGAGGCUCGAAAGCGCGGGUAUCGAACAGGAUUAGAUACCCCAGUAGUC